UAGGGAAUCUUCGGCAAUGGACGAAAGUCUGACCGAGCAACGCCGCGGGAGUGAAGAAGGUUUUCGGAUCGUAAAACUCUGUUGUUAGAGAAGAACACGGACGUUAGUAGCUGAACGUCCCCUGACGGUAUCUAACCAGAAAGCCACGGCUAACUACGUGCCAGCAGCCGCGGUAAUACGUAGGUGGCAAGCGUUGUCCGGAUUUAUUGGGCGUAAAGCGCACGCAGGCGGUUGAUUGAGUCAGAUGUGAAAUCCCCGGGCUUAACCCGGGAAUUGCAUCUGAUACUGGUCAGCUAGAGUCUUGUAGAGGGGGGUAGAAUUCCAUGUGUAGCGGUGAAAUGCGUAGAGAUGUGGAGGAAUACCGGUGGCGAAGGCGGCCCCCUGGACAAAGACUGACGCUCAGGUGCGAAAGCGUGGGGAGCAAACAGG
This 429-nucleotide ribosomal RNA is filed under the name Chloroflexota bacterium. Its description in RNAcentral is "Chloroflexi bacterium partial 16S ribosomal RNA". It matches the Rfam family "Bacterial small subunit ribosomal RNA", at positions 355 to 776 of the family's 1533-position model. Lineage: Bacteria; Bacillati; Chloroflexota. The record is from RNAcentral.